AAGUCGUAACAAGGUUUCCGUAGGUGAACCUGCGGAAGGAUCAUUAACAAAUCAUGUUGGUGCCUGACCCUCGGGUCAUGGCCCAUAUUAACCCGAACCCGUGCAGCAAUGCCGGGCAAGGUGUGUGAGCGGAAGGUCUUUGUGCCUGAAGCUCACGCGGUGAAGGUCAAUGUCUGAAAGGACAGCGAUCCGAUCCACAUAGACGCUUGUUAUGUUUGACAGAGUUAGUUGACACUUAAAAAUGACAACUUUUAACAAUGGAUCUCUUGGCUCUU
This 275-nucleotide unclassified non-coding RNA is filed under the name fungal sp. RNAcentral's name for it is "partial internal transcribed spacer region". The stretch from base 1 to 46 matches the Rfam family "Eukaryotic small subunit ribosomal RNA", at positions 1786 to 1831 of the family's 1831-position model. Lineage: Eukaryota; Fungi. The record is from RNAcentral.